GGUAUGGGAUGAGCUUGCGUCCGAUUAGCUAGUUGGCGGGGCAACGGCCCACCAAGGCGACGAUCGGUAGCCGGCCUGAGAGGGUGAUCGGCCACAUUGGGACUGAGAUACGGCCCAGACUCCUACGGGAGGCAGCAGUAGGGAAUAUUGCACAAUGGGGGGAACCCUGAUGCAGCAACGCCACGUGUGGGAAGAAGCAUUUCGGUGUGUAAACCACUGUCAUGAGGGAAUAAGGCCUAUUUUCGGAUAGGAUUGAAUGUACCUUGAGAGGAAGCACCGGCAAACUUCGUGCCAGCAGCCGCGGUAAUACGAGGGGUGCAAGCGUUGUUCGGAAUUACUGGGCGUAAGGGGAGCGUAGGCGGAGAUUCAAGCGGAUUGUACAAUCCCGGGGCCCAACCCCGGCUCUGCAGUCCGAACUGGAUCUCUUGGAUAGUUCAGGGGCAGGC
Molecule: ribosomal RNA, 446 nt
Filed under: uncultured bacterium
Lineage: Bacteria
Description: bacterial SSU rRNA
Rfam family: Bacterial small subunit ribosomal RNA
Source: RNAcentral